CUUCUUUCUUCUUCUUUCUUCCCUUCUCUUUUCUUCUCUCUCGGGUUCUCUCAAGCCUUCUCUCAUUUUCCCCCAAAAUAUGAGAAAAUGGGUAAUAUAGAUGAUAUUUAAUGGAUAAUUAUUGAAUAAUUGCAUGUCAAGUCCCUCUUUUAUGUUUUAAAUAAAGUCUAGUCAUUAACUUUCCAUUCUUGUAAAAUAAAUCCUCAAAUUUAAAUGAUGUCCAUGUUAAACCCUCAAGGAUUGUCAAUUUGUAAAAUAACCCAAAUAAAAUAAUUUAUUUCAUUAAGGUCCUCAUUUGACUUUGACUUUGAAAAUUCAACUCUGGACUUUUGACUACAUAAAAUGGGUUGUAACAGAAAGUCUGUCUAUUCUUCAUUGCAUUCCACUUGAGCAUGGUUUCCCUCACCUUCGGCAUUACUAUCAUUCCUUUGAUCUCUGCUCAACCUCGCCUAUGGCAAAGGCAUUGCCAAAAUUGCGAAACAAUCAAGUUGCUAACAGGUGAAGGUGACCAUGAUCUUCGAAUCCGUUCUUGGACAUGCUUUAGUAGGAACUAUUGAAUAAGGAAACUAUCUUGUCAAUCCCUUCAAACGAGUCCCUAGAGAUCAAGAAAGGUCAUAUGAAAUUAAUUUCUACAAUAAAAUCUAAUUGCACAAGGAAACUUAGCAUAACCAACAAGGAGCCAAGCGAGCUUAGGGCUGCCCUCCCCAUCCUUGUUCCUCAAGGGUUUUCUCUUAUAAAAUACAACAUACAUUUAAAAGUAAAUUGAUGUGUGUUAAUUCAACUAAUAGAUAAUAACAAACACCAAGCAAGUAAUCUAUCAAGUAAAUAAUAAGAUUAUUAAAUCUGAAAGCAAAUACUUCCCUAUCAAUACUUCGAAGAUUUGGUACCAAAAUGGAUGGAUAAAGGCUUACAUAAAGAGCCAAGAAUCAUACAGCAACACCACACAAUUUGGAUCAAAGUAACCAACUUAAAUGGACCACAAGGAAUACCCAAAACCAGCCAAGGAAGCUAAGAACACAAGGCAACUGUAAAGGACCGAAAUAGGAACUGAAAUCGAACAUAGCGAUUUGGCAAAACCAAGGUUCAAGUUGCAGGACACACUAGCCUAAGGAGUAGAGGAGGCAGCCCACAAAUGGGGCAUAAGACAAAGGCCAAAGAAGAUUACGAAGAAGAGCAGCCAGAUGAGGUUAAAAGGAGCAACUAAUGUCGAU
RNAcentral lists this long non-coding RNA (1211 nucleotides) under Olea europaea subsp. europaea. The record is from RNAcentral. Lineage: Eukaryota; Viridiplantae; Streptophyta; Magnoliopsida; Lamiales; Oleaceae.